UCUCUAUCUUUUCAUUUUCAGAAACAACCUUGAAACCGGGUGGAGACGGCACCCGAGCAGGUGGGACGCAUAGGCAAGAACAACUCCCUGCUGCACAGGAGAACAAGCUCAACCCUCUUCUUCUACUGAAGGGAGUAGUUACAUAAGCAUUGGGACAAUGGGUUGGAUCUUCCUGUUUAAUAUUAACACACCCUGCAAGGCAAGACUUCACUUCACAGACGUUCCUGCCCGGAAGUACUGUACUUCUGAACCAAAGACUUCAUCUGUCUAUGACUUUGAUUAAAAACUAGGAUAGUUUAGGAUAUUGGGGUUGGUGACUGAACAUGGCAGAAGAUCUUUGUGAGGACUAAGCCAGAACUGAACUUCACAAACUUGACACGAAACCUAUCCAGUGUGAGGAUAAUCGAGAGCCAAGAGAAUAUUGGGUUGUGUCUGAUGGCUUACACCAUGCACACGCACCAACAUCUACGGACAACCAACAUAGGGCCGUCCCAGGGACCAAUCAGGGCCAUCUUCUACCUCACAACGAAGGAACCUGUGCUUCCCAGGGCCCAAUCAGGGCCAUCUUCUACCUCACAACGAAGGAACCCAUGCUUUACCUCAAACACACCAGUGAUGGUCCAAGCUAGGGGUCGACCGAUUAUCGGCGUGGCCGAUUAUCGGCAGUGGCAUAACGACAUCUCUGACGUUCAUAACAAACCAAACCGUUUAAAAAUCGGUUGAAAAUUGUGCAAGUUAUGGUCAUUUAAAAAGUACAUGUAGCAUCAACACAAUGUUAUGGGUGAGCGAGUUGACUGUAGCAAGAUGGCCGCCAUGUGCGGACGUUCCACUCCGUUGUCCGGCAACGCGGACGAGACAUCUACCCUUCAUAGCUAUGGCCUACAUCCUCUCCAUAGGGACAUCUGUCAGUUCAUGGUAGUAUAUGGCGACUGUAUCGAGAGAUUGAAGGAAUCGAGUGACGUCAAGUCCUCGAGAAGUUAGUCUCACAAUCGUCAUCAAUUUGAUAAAUAAAGGUUAUGUGACAAAGUUUUCGAUGUGCAAGUGUCAAAAAUAUGUUAUCAUAUAUCUUGUUGUAUUAUAAACAACGUAACGUAUUUGCUACUUUACAUUCAUAAAAUUUAUUUUUAGGUUCGGAUAGCAUUCAAAUUAUAAGCUAGGUAAGAGCGCUGCCCCUCAGUGUAUGAGAUCGAAACCGCUGACCUCGUUUUAGUGGAAGUAUAUGCUAAAUGAAUACAUUAUUAUUUGAUCAUGUAGACUAGCGGCUAUGGUUUUUGAACAUGCUUUUGCAACCGGGAAAGGGAUGGCCACAUUUGAAGGCUGGCAAAACAAGACAAAGAUGUAUGUGCUUGUGUAGCCUUACUCUCUCACAUCUCACAUCUGUAUCUAGGCCUAUCUCUGUCUAUCUAGCUGUGGCAAUCUGUAUCUCUGGCUCUGUCAAUUAAUGUAUUCUAUAGCGUCCGUAAAUAUGUCUCCUCUCUAUAACCUACGAAUAUUAGUGAUUUCGAUGUCUUUUAAGCGUUUGAAAAAAAACGCAAUUCCUCUCGGAUCCUAUUCAUAGUUUUCAGUCACGUGACAUCCGCGGUGACCUGGAGGACAGAAAGCUGCUGGCAAUGGCGGCUCAGACCGUUGAGACGCAGAAAAAGGCGGCAAAUGCAGCCUAUACCUUCCUACGUUUCUUUUGAUCACCUCUUAGCUAAAGAAAAGGAAAUAUAUGGACACAAACUGCAAGUGUUGGGCACUUGCGAUCCAUAUACAGCACCCGCUGCUGUAUUUCUGCCCCUAAAAACCGCAAGGUUUUAUGUGAUGACUGUGAUAUCAUUACCUACUGUAAACUAGCUAGUGCUAACCCCUCUCUCUCUUAAACAACUGCUAACUAUUCAAACGGAAAGUCAACUUUCCUUUAAUUUUUACAACCUCAAUUCCCCAAAAGUUGGGAUGCUGUGAAAAACGUAGCCUAAAUACAAACAAAGGACCAAAUUAGUAUGAAAAACCAAUCAGUCUUAACACAAGCCUCACACAUUGUCUUUGUUUAACAUUCUGUUGAAUAUCGGUGUAAUCAUUUAAUUACAAAUGCAUUUUGAGUUUAAUUGUGUCUAACACAACAACCCAACUAUUUAGCUAACUAGCUAACUUUCACUGAAGUUGGUCGCCUCGAUACACAACAAACUAUUACAUAAAGAUGUGUUUUAAAAAAACACAUCUUAAAAAUACCAUAAUUAAUAUAGGCCUACCUGUAUUCUUGUGUUUAACUUUACAGGCAGGCACCAAGCAGUAAGCAGACACAUAGAGCAAUAUCACAAAAUUGUGAUAUGAUGCCACCAAAAGCUACCUUGUCAGCUUGUCAUGUGGGCUCUAGUGGGGGGCUUUGUCUGAUUGUUGUGACAACAUAAUUCGGUCAAUCUCUUUAUAUUUACAUAGACCUAGAUAUUUAUAUUUAACUCACUUCAAAGAUAAUAUAUGGAUAUUCUUUUGUUGCAGACACUGUCCAGUGUAAGGCCAUUAGAGAGAUCCCGGAGUUUGAGCUUGUCUAUGAUGAUGCUCUACAACCACCAACCCUCACCCUCACCCUCUUCGACCACUUGGGUACCUGUAAAGUUUUGACAAUUUACAUGACUGAGCUGUCAGAUUAUUUGAAAUAGGAGGUAACAAUAAAGCGUUUGAAAUUACUUGCACAUAGAAACUGACCUAUGUAGAGGUAAACAAAAGCAUGACCCUAACCAAACUGGGUUUCUAUAUCGGGAGUGCUUUCUUGGGUACCUGGAAGCAAAUAUCUAAAAAACAGCUUCAAGUGAGAUCUCAGAAGUGCUUGUGUCAGAUCCUUAGGUUAUUUGGAGUAGGCUAGGUUAAAGGUACAUUUUGAAUUGGCUUCUCAGAACUUCAGUGUCUGCUGUAUGCUUGGGGGUUUGCUCUUCAUCAAAUUCUAAUAAAUAUAACCAUGCUUUCAAAUCCAUUUCCUCUUUAGAACAACCAUCUGGGGAGUCAGGUGGCUGAGUGGUGAGGGAAUCGGGCUAGUAAUCCGAAGGUUGCCAGUUCGAUUCCCAGUCAUGCUAACUGACGUUGUGUCCUUGGGCAAGGCACUUCACCCUACUUGCCUUGGGGGAAUGUCCCUGUACUUACUGUAAGUCGCUCUGGAUAAGUGUGUCUGCUAAAUGACUAAAUGUAAAAUGUAAUGUAACAUCUCCAGAGGGCCGUCCCAGGGACCAAUCAGGGCCAUCUUCUAUCUCACAACGAAGGAACCUGUGCUUUACCUCAACCGCACCCGUGAUGGUCCAAGCCAGUUGCUAAUUUAACAAAAGACCUGCAACCUUUUCCAGUUUUGUCCUACUACAGUUUUUUUUCCUGUUCAAUGUCUAAUAAUAAACUUAUUUAUUUGUUUUUAUGCAUA
Molecule: long non-coding RNA, 3385 nt
Organism: Osmerus eperlanus (European smelt)
Lineage: Eukaryota; Metazoa; Chordata; Actinopteri; Osmeriformes; Osmeridae
Exons: 4
Source: RefSeq, a predicted model, not a curated record